CCUACGGGGGGCUGCAGUGGGGAAUAUUGCACAAUGGGGGAAACCCUGAUGCAGCGACGCCGCGUGAGCGAUGACGUAUUUCGGUAUGUAAAGCUCUAUCAGCAGGGAAGCAAAUUACGGUACCUGACUAAGAAGCCCCGGCUAACUACGUGCCAGCAGCCGCGGGAAUACGUAGGGGGCCAGCGUUAUCCGGAUUUACUGGGUGUAAAGGGGGCGUAGACGGCUGUGCAAGACAGAUGUGAAAGCCCGGGGCUCAAACCCGGGACUGCCUUUGGAACUGGGUGGCUUGAGUGUCGGAGAGGCAGGCGGAAUUCCUAGUGUAGCGGUGAAAUGCGUAGAUAUUAGGAGGAACACCAGUGGCGAAGGCGGCCUGCUGGACGAUGACUGACGUUGAGGCUCGAAAGCGUGGGGAGCAAACAGGAUUAGAUACCCUGGUAGUC
RNAcentral lists this ribosomal RNA (440 nucleotides) under uncultured bacterium. RNAcentral describes it as "partial 16S ribosomal RNA". It matches the Rfam family "Bacterial small subunit ribosomal RNA", at positions 338 to 795 of the family's 1533-position model. The record is from RNAcentral.